UGAUAUGACGUGCUUGCACUGAAUUGACGUUGGAUUACCAGUGAGCGGCGGACGGGUGAGUAACACGUGGGCAACCUGCCUUGAAGCGGGGGAUAACAUCUGGAAACAGGUGCUAAUACCGCAUAACAACGAAAACCACAUGGUUUUCGUUUCAAAGAUGGUUUCGGCUAUCACUUCAGGAUGGGCCCGCGGUGCAUUAGCUAGUUGGUAAGGUAACGGCUUACCAAGGCAAUGAUGCAUAGCCGAGUUGAGAGACUGAUCGGCCACAAUGGAACUGAGACACGGUCCAUACUCCUACGGGAGGCAGCAGUAGGGAAUCUUCCACAAUGGGCGCAAGCCUGAUGGAGCAACACCGCGUGAGUGAAGAAGGGUUUCGGCUCGUAAAGCUCUGUUGUUGGAGAAGAACGUGCGUGAGAGUAACUGUUCACGCAGUGACGGUAUCCAACCAGAAAGUCACGGCUAACUACGUGCCAGCAGCCGCGGUAAUACGUAGGUGGCAAGCGUUAUCCGGAUUUAUUGGGCGUAAAGCGAGCGCAGGCGGUUGCUUAGGUCUGAUGUGAAAGCCUUCGGCUUAACCGAAGAAGGGCAUCGGAAACCGGGCGACUUGAGUGCAGAAGAGGACAGUGGAACUCCAUGUG
Molecule: ribosomal RNA, 638 nt
Filed under: Limosilactobacillus vaginalis
Lineage: Bacteria; Bacillati; Bacillota; Bacilli; Lactobacillales; Lactobacillaceae
Description: bacterial SSU rRNA
Rfam family: Bacterial small subunit ribosomal RNA
Source: RNAcentral